Molecule: ribosomal RNA, 351 nt
Filed under: Aedes koreicus
Lineage: Eukaryota; Metazoa; Arthropoda; Insecta; Diptera; Culicidae
Description: eukaryotic LSU rRNA
Source: RNAcentral
AACAGCGACAAGUUGAACGCAUAUUGCACAUCGUACAACAGUACGAUGUACACAUUUUUGAGGGCCUAUAUUUAUCCAUUCAACUAUACGUGUGCAUGCGCGUUUCACUUCGGGUGGACGGGCGCAAGGGCCUCCCGACGGAUCCGCCAGGCACGUAUGCGUAGUGAUGUUUUCCCAGCGUCCCCCAGCGCGCCAAUAAAACAUUGAAGAUAGUCAGGGCGCGCCGCCGCUACCCACGGUUGGCGCGAGUUGAUGAAUACAUCCCAUCGCCGAAUGGUUGGCCAUUGUAUUCCAUCACACACCCAUCACCCAUCACCUUGAAUAAUCAGUAAGCCUCAAAUAAUGUGUGAC